This 650-nucleotide ribosomal RNA is filed under the name Orinus kokonoricus. RNAcentral describes it as "eukaryotic LSU rRNA". The stretch from base 245 to 400 matches the Rfam family "5.8S ribosomal RNA". The record is from RNAcentral. Lineage: Eukaryota; Viridiplantae; Streptophyta; Magnoliopsida; Poales; Poaceae.
AACCUGCGGAAGGAUCAUUGUCGUGACCCUAACAAAAACUGACCGUGAACAUGUCAUCCAUGCAGCUGAGUCUCGGGACCUGCUCCCGUCUCUCGGUAUAGGUUGCUGAUCUUCUUGAGGAGUCAGCAGCCGCCAAAGAACCAACGGCGCCGUAUGGCGUCAAGGAACACUAAUAUUGCCUUGCUUGGGGACACGUCUGGCUUGCCAGACGCACCCUGCGCAGCGAUGCUCUGAUAAUCCACAUGACUCUCGGCAACGGAUAUCUCGGCUCUCGCAUCGAUGAAGAACGUAGCAAAAUGCGAUACCUGGUGUGAAUUGCAGAAUCCCGUGAACCAUCGAGUAUUUGAACGCAAGUUGCGCCCGAGGCCUUCAGGCUGAGGGCACGUCUGCCUGGGCGUCACGCCAAAACAAACUCCCCACCCACACAGGUGUGGACGUGGUGUUUGGCCCCUCGUGCCGAAGGGUGCGGUGAGCCAAAGUAGGGGCUGCCGGCGGUGCCGAUCACAGCACAAGGUGGAUGACUUAUGUUGUUCUCGGUGCUAUGAUUUGGGCCUCUUCCGGUGUUGAUAUGGCCCUCUGGAUCCAUGGACCGAAGUGGUAGACACUCGGACCGCGACCCCAGGUCAGUCGGGAUUACCCGCUGAAUUUAA